AUGUUCAUAAACAUAGUUCAACAAUCCUCAAUUUUGAAAAAUCAAAACUACAAAUCACCCCUGCAUUUUGUUCGUACCAGAAAUCAGAAAACAACGAAAAAGAGAAGAAAGUCAAGAAUUAACGACUUACUGCUCUCACUAACAGAAAAUCAAGAAAAGGACGAGGCAUCUACUUUUACAACUUAG
Vicia faba (fava bean) is the source of this 186-nucleotide non-coding RNA. The record is from the annotation of a GenBank genome assembly. NCBI's taxonomy places the organism in Eukaryota, Viridiplantae, Streptophyta, Magnoliopsida, Fabales, Fabaceae.